This 2094-nucleotide long non-coding RNA is filed under the name Sus scrofa (pig). RNAcentral describes it as "lncRNA (ENSSSCG00060036880.1)". Lineage: Eukaryota; Metazoa; Chordata; Mammalia; Artiodactyla; Suidae. The record is from RNAcentral.
AUGGCCGCGGCCACCAUCGUCCACGACACGUCUGAGGCGGUGGAGCUGUGCCCGACCUACGGCCUGUACCUGAAGCCCAUCACCAAGAUGACCAUCAGCGUGGCGCUGCCGCAGCUGAAGCAGCCGGGCAAGUCCAUCUCCAACUGGGAGGUGAUGGAGCGGCUGAAGGGCAUGGUGCACAACCACCAGUUCUCCACGCUGCGCAUCUCCAAGAGCACCAUGGACUUCAUCCGCUUCGAGGGCGAGGUGGAGAACAAGAGCCUGGUCAAGGCCUUCCUGGCCUGCCUGGACGGCAAGACCAUCAAGCUCAGCGGCUUCUCCGACAUCCUCAAGGUGCGCGCGGCCGAGUUCAAGAUCGACUUCCCCACCCGCCACGACUGGGACUCCUUCUUCCGAGACGCCAAGGACAUGAACGAGACGCUGCCCGGGGAGCGGCCCGACACCAUCCACCUGGAGGGGCUGCCCUGCAAGUGGUUCGCGCUGAAGGAGUCGGGCUCCGAGAAGCCCAGCGAGGAGGUGCUGGUCAGGGUGUUCGAGCGCUUCGGGGAGAUCCGCAACGUGGACAUCCCCAUGCUGGACCCCUACCGCGAGGAGAUGACGGGCCGCAACUUCCACACCUUCAGCUUCGGGGGCCACCUGAACUUCGAGGCCUACGUGCAGUACCGCGAGUACGUGGGCUUCAUCCAGGCCAUGAGCGCCCUGCGCGGCAUGAAGCUCAUGUACAAGGGCGAGGACGGCAAGGCCGUGGCCUGCAACAUCAAGGUUUCUUUCGAUUCCACCAAACACCUGAGCGAUGCCUCCAUCAAGAAGCGGCAGCUGGAGCGGCAGAAACUUCAGGAGCUGGAGCAGCAGCGGGAGGAGCAGAAGCGCCGGGAGAAGGAGGCGGAGGAGAGGCAGAGGGCCGAGGAGAGGAAGCAGAAGGAGCUGGAGGAGCUGGAGCGGGAGCGGAAGCGGGAGGAGAAGCUGCGCCGGCGCGAGCAGAAGCAGAGAGACCGCGAGCUGCGGCGCAGCCAGAAGAAGCUGGAGAAGCUGCAGGCCGAGGAGCAGCGGAAGCUGCAGGAGAAGAUCCGGCUGGAGGAGCGCAAGCUGCUGCUGGCCCAGCGCAACCUGCAGUCCAUCCGGCUCAUCGCGGAGCUGCUGAGCCGCGCCAAGGCGCUGAAGGUGCAGCAGCAGGAGCAGAAGGCGGAGACGCAGCGGCUGCAGCAGCUGGAAGAACGGCGGCGGCUGCAGGAGGCAGAGCUGCGGCGCGUGGAGGAGGAGAAGGAGCGCGCCCUGGGGCUGCAGCGCAAGGAGCGGGAGCUGCGCCAGCGCCUGCUCAGCAUCCUGCUGGGCAAGAAGGCCGACGACCCCCGCGGCCCCGACGAGCCGGGUGUCUCGCGCGCGGCCCUGCUGCAGCCCGUGCUGGCCAUGCUGCACACGGUGUCGGCCGGCUGCGUGGGCGCAGGUGCCGCUGCACUGCAGCCCCCCGCCGGCCCAGCGCCCGGCGCCCCCAGGGAGACCCCGCCCCAGCCGGCGGCCGAAGGUGGCCCCCAGAACGUGAACGGGAGCGUCGUGGAGGAGGCCUUGGGCACGGAGAGCCAGCAUCCUCGCCUGGCGGCCCCCGACGACGGCCCUCCCGAGAAGAGGUGCCCCGGCGUCCUGGCCUGCAUCCCCGACAACAGCCAGCAGCCUCGGGCGGUGCCCGCCGCCUGCGACCAGAGCGCGCCCCGGAAGGACGUCCGCUCCGAGCAGGACAAGUGCAACCGCGAGCCCAGCGGCGGCCGGGGCCGGGCCAGCGCGGAGCGCAGCGGCGACGACCGGCAGGCUCGGGCCAGGAGCCGGACGCGGCGCGCCGCCAGCCGGGAGGACGGCCGGCCGCGGAAGGAGCGGCGGCCGCACAAGAAGCGCUCGCACCAGGACGGCAGCCCGCACCGGCGCAGCGCCAGCUCCGAGCGGGGCCGCUCGCGCAGGUCCCACAGCAGAGACCGGCACGGCCGGCGGGAGCGCAGCCGGGACCGCAGGGGCAGCUCCAGCCGAAAGCGCAGCCGCCACCGCCGCACCGAGAGGUCGCGCUCCGGGUCCCCCAGCCAGCACCGCAGCGCCUGGAACAGGUAA